RNAcentral lists this ribosomal RNA (322 nucleotides) under Aliivibrio fischeri SR5. RNAcentral describes it as "bacterial SSU rRNA". It matches the Rfam family "Bacterial small subunit ribosomal RNA", at positions 1212 to 1533 of the family's 1533-position model. The record is from RNAcentral. Lineage: Bacteria; Pseudomonadati; Pseudomonadota; Gammaproteobacteria; Vibrionales; Vibrionaceae.
GGCUACACACGUGCUACAAUGGCGCAUACAGAGGGCUGCAAGCUAGCGAUAGUGAGCGAAUCCCAAAAAGUGCGUCGUAGUCCGGAUUGGAGUCUGCAACUCGACUCCAUGAAGUCGGAAUCGCUAGUAAUCGUAGAUCAGAAUGCUACGGUGAAUACGUUCCCGGGCCUUGUACACACCGCCCGUCACACCAUGGGAGUGGGCUGCAAAAGAAGUGGGUAGUUUAACCUUCGGGAGGACGCUCACCACUUUGUGGUUCAUGACUGGGGUGAAGUCGUAACAAGGUAGCCCUAGGGGAACCUGGGGCUGGAUCACCUCCUUA